Molecule: microRNA, 21 nt
Filed under: Mus musculus (house mouse)
Lineage: Eukaryota; Metazoa; Chordata; Mammalia; Rodentia; Muridae
Description: mmu-miR-6970-3p
Source: miRBase by way of RNAcentral
UCACGCCACCCACCCUGUGCU